AGCAGCGAACGGGUGAGUAACGCGUGGGGAAUCUGCCUUUGAGCGGGGGACAACAUUUGGAAACGAAUGCUAAUACCGCAUAACAACUUUAAACAUAAGUUUUAAGUUUGAAAGAUGCAAUUGCAUCACUCAAAGAUGAUCCCGCGUUGUAUUAGCUAGUUGGUGAGGUAAAGGCUCACCAAGGCGAUGAUACAUAGCCGACCUGAGAGGGUGAUCGGCCACAUUGGGACUGAGACACGGCCCAAACUCC
Molecule: ribosomal RNA, 250 nt
Filed under: uncultured Lactococcus sp.
Lineage: Bacteria; Bacillati; Bacillota; Bacilli; Lactobacillales; Streptococcaceae
Description: partial 16S ribosomal RNA
Rfam family: Bacterial small subunit ribosomal RNA
Source: RNAcentral